Molecule: unclassified non-coding RNA, 473 nt
Filed under: Hevea brasiliensis (rubber tree)
Lineage: Eukaryota; Viridiplantae; Streptophyta; Magnoliopsida; Malpighiales; Euphorbiaceae
Source: RNAcentral
GGAUGGGCAAACGUAAGCGUAAAGAAGAGGUAGACCAAUAUUAUGCAGCAGGGAUACCCAUGCAACAUCGGAUACCUGCUACAGCUUUUGAUGUUGAUCCUUCUCACCUAUAUCACAUCGGCAAUGAGAUGGACAAUCCUCAUUUGUGCAUUACAGUAAGUGAAGAUGAUCAUGGUCGGAUAUCUCACGUAGCUCAAAGUGUCGAUGAUAUUGAUUUCUGUGAAGAUGCUAAGGAAGUUGAUGAAUCACACUUCCAUCAUCUAGUUGGAGAACAAGAUGACCAUCUCUCCAGUGAAGUAGCAGAAGAUAAACCUCAUGCUUCAUUGGAUAUCGUGGUUCCUCAGGUCUCCCAUGAAACUAGAGAGGAUGUUGCACAGCAGAACGAUUAUGGGGUUCUUGUUUAGACCAGUAAAGAUGAAAUUUAUGGCUUGCACAAUUUUCAGUUCAUUUGGAGAUGUUUUUCUCCUCUGUCC